UACGGAGGAUGCGAGCGUUAUCCGGAAUUAUUGGGCGUAAAGAGCGCGCAGGUGGUUGAUUAAGUCUGAUGUGAAAGCCCACGGCUUAACCGUGGAGGGUCAUUGGAAACUGGUCGACUUGAGUGCAGAAGAGGGAAGUGGAAUUCCAUGUGUAGCGGUGAAAUGCGUAGAGAUAUGGAGGAACACCAGUGGCGAAGGCGGCUUCCUGGUCUGUAACUGACACUGAGGCGCGAAAGCGUGGGGAGCAAACAGGAUUAGA
Molecule: ribosomal RNA, 259 nt
Filed under: uncultured prokaryote
Description: partial 16S ribosomal RNA
Rfam family: Bacterial small subunit ribosomal RNA
Source: RNAcentral